CUCUUAUCCAGAGAGGCAGAGGGACUGGCCCGAUGAAGCCUCGGCAACCGGAAUUUUCAGGUGCCAAUUCCAGCAAAGCCGUGUGCUUUGAAAGAUGAGAG
RNAcentral lists this non-coding RNA (101 nucleotides) under Brevibacillus borstelensis. Its description in RNAcentral is "SAM-I sequence". It matches the Rfam family "SAM riboswitch aptamer (S box leader)". Rfam says of the family: The SAM riboswitch is found upstream of a number of genes which code for proteins involved in methionine or cysteine biosynthesis in Gram-positive bacteria. The SAM riboswitch acts at the level of transcription termination control. The predicted structure consists of a complex stem-loop region followed by a single stem loop terminator region. RNAcentral also lists the same sequence under 1 other name. Lineage: Bacteria; Bacillati; Bacillota; Bacilli; Caryophanales; Paenibacillaceae. The record is from RNAcentral.